Molecule: RNA transcript, 2090 nt
Organism: Alosa alosa (allis shad)
Lineage: Eukaryota; Metazoa; Chordata; Actinopteri; Clupeiformes; Clupeidae
Gene name: probable E3 ubiquitin-protein ligase DTX3
Exons: 4
Source: RefSeq, a predicted model, not a curated record
UUGCCACACAACUUUGGUGGUAGGCUAUUAGCUUCAGAAAGCACCGCUUCAGAAAGCUGCACUGCUUGUGAAAAAAGGGGGGGGGGCUUAACGUAGCUUAAUGUCCCAAAACGUACAUUACACAUACAACGAACCUACAAACAUUUUCAUGUUCUCCAUCGGACUUCCUGAAACACACCCACAAGUCAGAUGGCAUUUCGCAUUAUCCUGUGGGUGGAUCCUAUCCCGAGUUUCAUGUAACAUUAACCAGUAAGUGCAUUGAGUCAGUGCUGCAGAAUGAAGCUGUCAAGUAGCCAGUGUCUCGUGUGAUGUUUUUGAGGCGUUAUCCUCGAAACUGAAAUUCGUACUAGGCCUACAGUAGUAGGCUACAGAAAAACAUCGAGAAUGACUUCAUCUUUGGGCGACGGGGACCCGCUAGAUAAUGGAAAUACAUCGAUGACUGAUACCUACUGUAUUGUUUGUAUGGACAAUAUACAAGACAAAAAAACCUUGAAAUGUUCCCAUUCCUUUUGCUCAAGUUGCAUAGACGAUGUAUUCAGAGUAAAACCUGCGUGUCCGGUUUGUAAUGCGUUUUAUGGGACCUAUUAUGGUACUCAGCCUCGGGAUGGAGUCAUGAAAGUGACCCGCACUUGGCAAUGUUUACCUGGGUAUGAAGGCUGUGGAACUAUUGUUAUCAACUACAGUUUUCCACCAGGCAUCCAAGGGCCUGAACAUCCAAACCCUGGCAAACGUUAUGCAAGCACAUCCAGACAGGCUUUCCUACCCGCCUGUGAGGAGGGUGAGCAGGUCCUCCAGCUGCUGAAGACGGCUUUUAAACGCAGGCUCAUCUUCACUGUGGGAACCUCUGCCACCACAGGACUCUCCAAUUCCAUCACCUGGAACGACAUUCAUCACAAGACUAACAUCGGUGGAGGCCCUGCAAUCUUUGGGUACCCAGAUCCAAGCUACCUCAAGCGGGUUAAGGAGGAGCUGUACCUGAAGGGAGUUACUGAAGCAAGCCUGGAGCACUCACCCAUGGAGAGCCCAGUUUGAGAGGCCGUCGUCAAUGUUUACCAGAGCCCUUAUCUGUUACGAUCAAAGCCGAUCGACGAUCAAUUGUGUCAUAAGACUUCAAAAGCAAAGUACUGGAAUGGAGUACAGUGGAGUAUAAACAGUGACUCAGAGAAGGGCACAGCCUCAGUGGACAAGGGAGAGGAGAGUGAGAGAUGCGCCAGUGCUGCUGCUGAUGACUCAUGUUUCCAUGGAUGGACCUCUGUUCUUUUGGGACAUGCUGGUAAUCUGAACCAUUUGCUGCCGGCUAAACUGUCUCUUGUCAUCAUUUGGUCUGUCCAUCUGUACCCAAGUGGUGAACAGACAUUUGAUGUUAAUGCCAUCGUUAUCAUUUUGAUACUAGCACUGUAUCAGGUUGGGUUGUAGCACUUAAAAAAGCCAGUUGUAGCACUUAAAAAAGCCAGUAAACUUACACUUUUAGUCAAAUAUGGGUGCAGCUUUUAAUUGAGUUUUAAUACAUCCAAUAUAGAAGCUGUUAUUUAAGUGCCAACAGAAAUGCUUACUUCCAGGUCAUUAGCUGAACCAAAUUGUACCUGUGCUAUUCUCAUCUGUAGCUGCUGGCCUCUGAAUGGGGAUGAGCUGUGUGUUAUAGUGUUUUGGGGAUUGCUGAGGAGUAGUGUUUCUCUAGUUGUGGAGGUUCAGAGGUUUUGUGGUUUCUGGUUUGUCCUUGAAUGAAUUAUUUAUGUGUGUGCAUGUUUGUGCCUCUGACGAUGGUAGUGUGAUUUGACCAGUCAUGUCAAACUGAUCUCAUUUAACAGUGGGUGGGCUACACAAACAAUAGCAUUGUGUUUACCAACAGCACAGCAAACAGUGUUAGAAAAAGAAGAAAAAACUGGUUUGAAGAGAGCAACAGUGACUUGUCACUGGAAUUGGAGUGAUAUGCUCUUUACCCAUAUCUGACAUUGUCUCAUGCAGUGUACAACACUCCUGUCUGAAGACAUCACUGCAUCUCAGUCUUGCACAGCGAAACCAUUCAUCUGAGAGGAUACAUGUCAGGCUCUGCCCGUGUAACAGGCUCAUGGAGUUUUUUCUUUUUUUGG